This is a long non-coding RNA of Saccostrea cuccullata (small rock oyster), 1794 nucleotides long. RefSeq lists it as uncharacterized. The record is from RefSeq and is a predicted model, not a curated record. The transcript has 2 exons. NCBI's taxonomy places the organism in Eukaryota, Metazoa, Mollusca, Bivalvia, Ostreida, Ostreidae.
AAUUUUUCAGUACGAUACGAUAGAGAAGAUCCUAGAGAGAGAAGAGAAGCUAAAUGAUUUAGUGGAGAAAUCUGAGGGACUCAGCAUGCAGUCUAAAGCUUUUUAUAAAACAGCAAGGAAGACUAACUCCUGUUGUGUUAUCUUAUGAGUGUAAUGAUGUACUAUAUGCGUUGUAUUUAUUAAGAAGGGAAGUCAGCAAGAAAAAGGUGCAACUGAUGUUGAGAUUUCUAAGAUGGACCAAUUUUUUUAUCCUCUUCAAUUUUUAAUGCUUGUCCAAGUGCAAUCAUGUGUUUGUCAAACAUGUAUUUAUUUUCACAUUGAAAAUAUGACAAGGUGUGAUGUUUAAGUUUGAGUGUAAAUGAGGAAUAUUUAAUUAGAAAAAAGAAAUAGUUGUAUUGUAAGGCAUUAUUUUAUUUUAAGACUUGAAAGUGACCCACAGAGUGAAUAUGUCAUAUCUUUGAACUGUGUCUCGAUUUUAAAUAGAAUGGUUCAAUCUUAGCUCCUAUUUGAAGUGCAUUAAAAAAUGUUUUUUAAUGCUCUGUAAAAUUCACUUAGUGUCACUGUUGAUCCCAUUUAAUAGUUUUAUAUAGCAUUGUGUAUUGGUUUAUUUAGAAAAGAAUUUUUUAAAUUCUUUUCUGUAUCAUCAAAUGUGAAUAUUGGUUCAGUCCAAAUUUAUGUUACUUAACUCAAGGAUUUUUUUUUUUUUUUUUUUUUGGAAAGAGAAAUUGCAGAUUUCCAUGCUGACAAUCUUAUUUACCCUUUUCAUGAUUUGUUAUAUCUACACAUCUGAAUGAUAGCUUUGAAUACCAUAUUUAUCUACAAUACACUCACGUAUCUUCAUUGAAGAGUAUUUUCAUUGUGAAUUUAGAACACAUGCUCUAUUUGUAAAUAAGAUAAUAUCCUCAACAUGCCAAACACUGUUAUUUUAUGGUAGCUGUAAUUCUUGACAAGUAAAGUUCAUGUACAAGGUGCUUUUUUGUCAUGAUAUAUUUUUGCUUUGCAUGGUAUUUUUAUAUAGAAUUUUAUGAAUAUGCCUUUACCACUAUUUCUUUAAGGUGUUCUAAUGCUCUGAAAAUGCAUCUUUACAUUGUCAUCAAUUAACGUUUGUAUUUUUUCACUGAUUUUAUUGAUUACUAUGACUUUUAAAAUAUUGUAAUUUUAUGUUGUUGGUAAGACAGGAGAUAGAGUUUAAACAAGUUUGAUUUUCUAUUUUCUCUCUACUUUCUUUCCUGUAGUUCCGGCAUUGAGGAAUGCAGUUACAUGUAUGUAUCGUAUUAAGAGAGGGGAAAUUUCUCCACUUUCCUAAACUAUCAAGAAAUUUAAUUCUCAAUAUUUAUCCACAAUGAGGUGACACAUUCCACUUUUUCACCUUAAAUAAUGAAAUAUUUGAUCAUACCUAGUCAAAGAAGAUCAUUUCAACCCUUGUGUUGUGUGGAGGUAGUGUUGCAUAUAUGUUUGUAAUGGUGUGCAAAGUUGAAUGUUGUUUCUAAAUCUAUUUAAAGAAUAAUAUUUUAAUGAUCAGUUUAUAAGCAAUUUGCUUCUAUCCAUUCUCCAACAAAAUUUCAACAUUCACACAAUGCCAGUAUCCCACAGUAUUUUCUUUCCAUUUUUAGUUGUAGACAAUAACUUGUAAAGGGUUGUCACAGUUAAUGAUUUUAAACUGAACUGUGACACGUAUUGUUUGAAUUGGGUGAUGAAACAAUUUGUUUAUAUGUAAAUAUAAUAAAAAUAUAUGUGAAUGUAAAAUUGAAUGAAUGUAAGAAACAAGAAUAAAAUAUGGAGUACAUUGUAAAA